RNAcentral lists this ribosomal RNA (443 nucleotides) under uncultured bacterium. RNAcentral's name for it is "partial 16S ribosomal RNA". It matches the Rfam family "Bacterial small subunit ribosomal RNA", at positions 338 to 795 of the family's 1533-position model. The record is from RNAcentral.
CCUACGGGUGGCAGCAGUGGGGAAUAUUGGGCAAUGGAGGCAACCCUGACCCAGCCACGCCGCGUGAAUGAUGAAGGUCUUCGGAUUGUAAAGUUCUGUGAUGGGGGAUGAACACAAUGACGGUACUCCAAUAGCAAGUUACGGCUAACUACGUGCCAGUAGCCGCGGUAAUACGUGGGUGGCAAGCGUUAACUGGAAUGACUGGGCGCAAAGGGUGCGUAGGCGGUUUAGUAAGUGGGCGGUGGAAGUCCGGGGCUCAACCUCGGCGCGGCCGCGGAGACUGGUAGACUAGAGUGCAGGAGGGGUGAGUAGAAUUCCUAGUGUAGCGGUGGAAUGCGUAGAUAUUAGGAGGAACAUCAGGGGCGAAGGCGGCUUACUGGACUGUGACUGACGCUGAGGCACGAAAGCGUGGGGAGCAAACAGGAUUAGAUACCCCUGUAGUC